AGAACGAACGCUGGCGGCAUGCCUAAUACAUGCAAGUCGAACGCGUCUAGCAAUAGACGAGUGGCGGACGGGUGAGUAACGCGUGGGAACCUGCCCUUGAGUGCGGGAUAACCGAGGGAAACUUCGGCUAAUACCGCAUGCGCCCCCAGCGAUGGGGGGGAAAGAUUUAUCGCUCGAGGAGGGGCCCGCGUCGGAUUAGCUAGUUGGUGGGGUAACGGCCUACCAAGGCGAUGAUCCGUAGCUGGUCUGAGAGGAUGAUCAGCCACACUGGGACUGAGACACGGCCCAGACUCCUACGGGAGGCAGCAGUAGGGAAUAUUGGACAAUGGGGGCAACCCUGAUCCAGCAAUGCCGCGUGAGUGAUGAAGGCCUUAGGGUUGUAAAGCUCUUUCGCGCGCGACGAUGAUGACGGUAGCGCGAGAAGAAGCCCCGGCUAACUUCGUGCCAGCAGCCGC
This 455-nucleotide ribosomal RNA is filed under the name uncultured bacterium. Its description in RNAcentral is "SSU rRNA". It matches the Rfam family "Bacterial small subunit ribosomal RNA", at positions 26 to 518 of the family's 1533-position model. The record is from RNAcentral.